RNAcentral lists this ribosomal RNA (468 nucleotides) under uncultured bacterium. RNAcentral's name for it is "partial 16S ribosomal RNA". It matches the Rfam family "Bacterial small subunit ribosomal RNA", at positions 28 to 507 of the family's 1533-position model. The record is from RNAcentral.
GACGAACGCUGGCGGCGUGCUUAACACAUGCAAGUCGAACGGAAAGGCCCGGCUUUUGUGGGGUGCUCGAGUGGCGAACGGGUGAGUAACACGUGAGUAACCUGCCCUUGACUUUGUGAUAACUUCAGGAAACUCGGGCUAAUACAGGAUAGGAUCUCCUGCUGCAUGGUGGGGGUUGGAAAGUUUCGGCGGUUGGGGAUGGACUCGCGGCUUAUCAGCUUGUUGGUGGGGUAGUGGAUUACCAAGGCUUUGACGGGUAGCCGGCCUGAGCGGGUGACCGGCCACAUUGGGACUGAGAUACGGCCCAGACUCCUACGGGAGGCAGCAGUGGGGAAUAUUGCACAAUGGGCGGAAGCGUGAUGCAGCAACGCCGCGUGCGGGAUGACGUCCUUCGGGUUGUAAACCGCUGUCGCCUGUGACGAAGCGUGAGUGACGGUAAUGGGUAAAGAAGCACCGGCUAACUACGUG